Molecule: ribosomal RNA, 248 nt
Filed under: uncultured Lachnospiraceae bacterium
Lineage: Bacteria; Bacillati; Bacillota; Clostridia; Lachnospirales; Lachnospiraceae
Description: partial 16S ribosomal RNA
Rfam family: Bacterial small subunit ribosomal RNA
Source: RNAcentral
UACGGAGGAUGCGAGCGUUAUCCGGAUUUACUGGGUGUAAAGGGAGCGCAGGCGGCGUGGCAAGUCAGAUGUGAAAACCCGGGGCCCAACCCCGGGACUGCAUUUGAAACUGCCAUGCUGGAGUGCCGGAGAGGUAAGUGGAAUUCCUAGUGUAGCGGUGAAAUGCGUAGAUAUUAGGAGGAACACCAGUGGCGAAGGCGGCUUACUGGACGGUAACUGACGCUGAGGCUCGAAAGCGUGGGGAGCAA